Molecule: transfer RNA, 63 nt
Filed under: Ochthebius deletus
Lineage: Eukaryota; Metazoa; Arthropoda; Insecta; Coleoptera; Hydraenidae
Description: tRNA-His
Rfam family: tRNA
About the family: Transfer RNA (tRNA) molecules are approximately 80 nucleotides in length. Their secondary structure includes four short double-helical elements and three loops (D, anti-codon, and T loops).
Source: RNAcentral
AUUUAAGUAGUUUAUUUAAAAUAUUGGUUUGUGAAUCCAAAGAUAUAGUAUCUAUCUUAAAUA